This 297-nucleotide ribosomal RNA is filed under the name uncultured bacterium. Its description in RNAcentral is "partial 16S ribosomal RNA". It matches the Rfam family "Bacterial small subunit ribosomal RNA", at positions 333 to 628 of the family's 1533-position model. The record is from RNAcentral.
GUACCUACGGGACGCAGCAGUGAGGAAUAUUGGUCAAUGGACGGAAGCCUGAACCAGCCAAGUCGCGUGAGGGAGUAAGGCCCUACGGGUCGUAAACCUCUUUUGCCGGGGAGCAAGGGCCGGGACGCGUCCCGGCCCGGAGAGUACCCGGAGAAAAAGCAUCGGCUAACUCCGUGCCAGCAGCCGCGGUAAUACGGAGGAUGCGAGCGUUAUCCGGAUUUAUUGGGUGUAAAGGGCGUGUAGGCGGGACUGCAAGUCAGAUGUGAAACCCAUGGGCUCAACCCAUGGCCUGCAUUU